RNAcentral lists this ribosomal RNA (253 nucleotides) under uncultured bacterium. RNAcentral describes it as "partial 16S ribosomal RNA". It matches the Rfam family "Bacterial small subunit ribosomal RNA", at positions 524 to 776 of the family's 1533-position model. The record is from RNAcentral.
GACGUAGGGCGCGAGCGUUGUCCGGAUUUAUUGGGCGUAAAGAGCGUGUAGGCGGCCUGAAAGGUCAGCUGUGAAAACUCGAGGCUCAACCUCGAGACGUCGGUUGAAACCAUCUGGCUAGAGUCCGGAAGAGGAGUGUGGAAUUCCUGGUGUAGCGGUGAAAUGCGCAGAUAUCAGGAGGAACACCAAUUGCGAAGGCAGCUCGCUGGGACGUUACUGACGCUGAGACGCGAAAGCGUGGGGAGCAAACAGG